This is a long non-coding RNA of Triticum dicoccoides, 858 nucleotides long. RefSeq lists it as uncharacterized. The transcript is spliced from 5 exons. NCBI's taxonomy places the organism in Eukaryota, Viridiplantae, Streptophyta, Magnoliopsida, Poales, Poaceae. The record is from RefSeq and is a predicted model, not a curated record.
UAAGAUGAUUUGUCUGGGAGACUAUAAUUAAGGAUGAUAGUCCAGGUUUCACCUUAAGUCUGUGGCAAAGCUAUUGGAGUGAAUACAUUUUGAUGUAAGUGCAAUAACUUCAUUCCUCGACAUUUCUUUUGGGAGGCAGAUGGCCUUGAUGCCGUAGCAUGAGUUGGUGUUGGCCAUAUGCCCAUACGUAGUAAGAUAUAUUGAGAUUCAGAUAUCUUGGCAUUGGCAACGCCAACUGGUUGGUGAUACUUCAUGUGAGGUUGAUGAGGCAACACGAGGAGUUUGAUAUUCUACUGGAUGCUCAACUAUUGGAAAGCCAGUGCAACCGUCAACAGAUUUAAUUUAUGUUCUCUUGCUCCAAUAAGGGUUCGUGUCAAGAUUGAUUUUGGGGGACCUGCGUGGGAUGCUCAACUCUGGCUUGAGCCUCUGAAGAUGUUCCCCACAACCUGAAGAUGUGAACUACGCUGCUGCUCCUGGUAUGUGUGUUGCUUCCGCUGGAUGAUGCCCUGUUGCCGCUGUUGCCUCAGCCCUCUAACUGUCGUCUUCUUCCCUUCUCUUGCUGCUUGAUGAAGUUGCUCAUGCUGCUAGCUUUGCAUGCUAUGGAGUUUUUGUCCCUACCUACGAUAAAUUCAGUAUUGAUCUACACAUGUGUUUGUACAAAGUUCCAAGACCUGGCUGGUGAUAUAGUUUUGACUUCUAAUGAUUUGAUUAUGUAUGCCUUUUUUUGGAGAUAUAUGUAUGUCAGUAUGCAUUAUUAAGUAUAUACUGGGCAUAGAAGGGGGUGUAUUGUAUCUCAGUGUGUAACAUCAUAUUUUAACCGAAUAUUUUAUUCAAUCUGAAUUUAGAUCUUUUACUUAG